GAGGGAUCAUUACUGAGUUUACGCUCUACAACCCUUUGUGAACAUACCUAUAACUGUUGCUUCGGCGGGUAGGGUCUCCGUGACCCUCCCGGCCUCCCGCCCCCGGGCGGGUCGGCGCCCGCCGGAGGAUAACCAAACUCUGAUUUAACGACGUUUCUUCUGAGUGGUACAAGCAAAUAAUCAAAACUUUUAACAACGGAUCUCUUGGUUCUGGCAUCGAUGAAGAACGCAGCGAAAUGCGAUAAGUAAUGUGAAUUGCAGAAUUCAGUGAAUCAUCGAAUCUUUGAACGCACAUUGCGCCCGCCAGCAUUCUGGCGGGCAUGCCUGUUCGAGCGUCAUUUCAACCCUCAAGCUCUGCUUGGUGUUGGGGCCCUACAGCUGAUGUAGGCCCUCAAAGGUAGUGGCGGACCCUCCCGGAGCCUCCUUUGCGUAGUAACUUUACGUCUCGCACUGGGAUCCGGAGGGACUCUUGCCGUAAAACCCCCAAUUUUCCAAAGGUUGACCUCGGAUCAGGUAGGAAUACCCGCUGAACUUAAGCAUAUCAAUAA
Molecule: ribosomal RNA, 548 nt
Filed under: Colletotrichum sp. BDS-2011
Lineage: Eukaryota; Fungi; Ascomycota; Sordariomycetes; Glomerellales; Glomerellaceae
Description: eukaryotic LSU rRNA
Rfam family: 5.8S ribosomal RNA (bases 185-338)
Source: RNAcentral